Molecule: non-coding RNA, 84 nt
Filed under: Vibrio spartinae
Lineage: Bacteria; Pseudomonadati; Pseudomonadota; Gammaproteobacteria; Vibrionales; Vibrionaceae
Source: RNAcentral
CACUUUGGUGAGCUAGGCUAGGGCGCUUCGGCGCACCGUGUAUUGCGAGCGGUUGUUCCUAACCUUGUCUAGUUCACCACCUAA